This 468-nucleotide ribosomal RNA is filed under the name uncultured bacterium. RNAcentral describes it as "partial 16S ribosomal RNA". It matches the Rfam family "Bacterial small subunit ribosomal RNA", at positions 28 to 507 of the family's 1533-position model. The record is from RNAcentral.
GACGAACGCUGGCGGCGUGCUUAACACAUGCAAGUCGAACGGAAAGGCCCUGCUUUUGUGGGUGGCUCGAGUGGCAAACGGGUGAGUAACACGUGAGUAACCUGCCCUUGACUUUGGGAUAACUUCAGGAAACUGGGGCUAAUACCGGAUAGGAGCUCCGGCUGAUGGGUGGGGGUUGGAAAGUUUCGGCGGUUGGGGAUGGACUCGCGGCUUAUCAGCUUGUUGGUGGGGUAGUGGCUUACCAAGGCUUUGACGGGUAGCCGGCCUGAGAGGGUGACCGGCCACAUUGGGACUGAGAUACGGCCCAGACUCCUACGGGAGGCAGCAGUGGGGAAUAUUGCACAAUGGGCGGAAGCCUGAUGCAGCAACGCCGCGUGCGGGAUGACGGCCUUCGGGUUGUAAACCGCUUUCGCCUGUGACGAAGCGUGAGUGACGGUAAUGGGUAAAGAAGCACCGGCUAACUACGUG